Molecule: ribosomal RNA, 452 nt
Filed under: uncultured Alphaproteobacteria bacterium
Lineage: Bacteria; Pseudomonadati; Pseudomonadota; Alphaproteobacteria
Description: bacterial SSU rRNA
Rfam family: Bacterial small subunit ribosomal RNA
Source: RNAcentral
UGGGUAGUCCGCACGAGCGCACCUCAUCUUCAGUUGCUAACGGUUCGGCCGAGCACUUUGGAGAAACUGCCUGGGAUGACUAGGAGGAAGGCGAGGAUGACGUCAAGUCCUCAUGGCCCUUAUGGGCUGGGCUACACACGUGCUACAAUGGCGGUGACAACGGGAUGCAACAGGGUGACCUUGAGCAAAUCCCCAAAAACCGUCUCAGUUCGGAUUGUACUCUGCAACUCGAGUGCAUGAAGUUGGAAUCGCUAGUAAUCGCGGAUCAGCAUGCCGCGGUGAAUACGUUCCCGGGCCUUGUACACACCGCCCGUCACACCAUGGGAGUUGGUUUUACCCGAAGGCGGUUCGCUAACCUUUUGGAGGCAGCCGACCACGGUAGGGUCAGCGACUAGGGUGAAGUCGUAACAAGGUAGCCGUAGGGGAACCUGCGGCUGGAUCACCUCCUUUCU